CCAUCAUUUUCGCAAGUGUCGCAACUGUCGCGGUAAAUACUACAGUUCCCAUCAUGCUUUGCUUUGUCAGUGCUCCUCAACCAAAACAACGAUGGUGUGUUGAGGCUUAUACUGUAUCUAUGGUUAAGACUGUACAGGAAUGCCUGUUCUAAGAGCUUCUCGUUUCUAAAACUUAUCUGGGCUGUGAGCAGAGGACCGCGCCCUCCCGUUUAGCCCCUCGUGCCCCGCAGCCGACCCUUUAUAAGAUCAGACUCCAAGCUGUUUGUCCAGAGGUCUCUCUCUUUUCUCCAGUGAAAGACGAACCUCUUUCCAUCUUUCCGCCUGUGACUGAGGAGUAUCUGCAGAUCUCAUCUCCAAACGAGCUUCUGCUAAUCCAACGAUGAUGAAGACGUCCAGAGGAGUCAUCGUCUUCCUGUCUGCUUGACGCGUCUCAGUGAGCUGUAUGGGAGCGUUUAAUGAGCU
Molecule: long non-coding RNA, 462 nt
Filed under: Neogobius melanostomus (round goby)
Lineage: Eukaryota; Metazoa; Chordata; Actinopteri; Gobiiformes; Gobiidae
Description: lncRNA (ENSNMLG00000016865.1)
Source: RNAcentral